GGGGAAUAUUGCGCAAUGGGGGAAACCCUGACGCAGCAACGCCGCGUGAAGGGAGAAGGUUUUCGGAUCGUAAACUUCUUUGAUGAGGGACGAAUAAAUGACGGUACCUCAAAAACAAGCCACGGCUAACUACGUGCCAGCAGCCGCGGUAAUACGUAGGUGGCGAGCGAUGUCCGGAAUUACUGGGUGUAAAGGGCGCGUAGGCGGGGAUGCAAGUCAGAUGUGAAAUACUGAGGCUUAACCUCAGGGCUGCAACUGAAACUGCGUUUCUUGAGUGUCGGAGAGGAAAGUGGAAUUCCUAGUGUAGCGGUGAAAUGCGUAGAUAUUAGGAGGAACACCAGUGGCGAAGGCGACUUUCUGGACGAUAACUGACGCUGAGGCGCGAAAGCGUGGGGAGCAAAC
Molecule: ribosomal RNA, 402 nt
Filed under: uncultured bacterium
Lineage: Bacteria
Description: bacterial SSU rRNA
Rfam family: Bacterial small subunit ribosomal RNA
Source: RNAcentral